CUGGGAAUUUUGCGCAAUGGCCGAAAGGCUGACGCAGCGACGCCGCGUGAGGGAGGAAGGCCUUCGGGUCGUAAACCUCUUUUAGCAGGGACGAAACAAAUGACGGUACCUGCAGAAAAAGCACCUGCUAACUACGUGCCAGCAGCAGCGGUAAUACGUAGGGUGCGAGCGUUAGUCGGAUUCACUGGGCGUAAAGGGCGCGUAGGCGGUUCGUUAAGUCAGAUGUGAAAUCCCCCGACUCAAUCGGGGAAGUGCAUUUGAUACUGGCGGACUAGAGUAUAGGAGAGGAAGAUGGAAUUCCUGGUGUAGAGGUGAAAUUCGUAGAUAUCAGGAGGAACAACAGAGGCGAAGGCGAUCUUCUGGACUAUUACUGACGCUGAGGCGCGAAAGUGUGGGGAGCAAACA
This 405-nucleotide ribosomal RNA is filed under the name uncultured prokaryote. Its description in RNAcentral is "bacterial SSU rRNA". It matches the Rfam family "Bacterial small subunit ribosomal RNA", at positions 355 to 774 of the family's 1533-position model. The record is from RNAcentral.